Molecule: ribosomal RNA, 497 nt
Filed under: uncultured bacterium
Lineage: Bacteria
Description: bacterial SSU rRNA
Rfam family: Bacterial small subunit ribosomal RNA
Source: RNAcentral
UGGCUCAGGAUGAACGCUAGCGGGCAAGGCUUAAAUACAUGCAAGUCGUGGGGCAGCAUGAGUAGCAAUACUUGAUGGCGACCGGCAAACGGGUGAGGAACACGUACACAACCUUCCUUCAAGGCGGGGAAUAGCCCAGAGAAAUUUGGAUUAAUACCCCAUAAUAUAUUUGAUAAGGCAUCUUAUUAAUAUUAAAGCUUCGGCACUUGAUGAUGGGUGUGCGGCUGAUUAGAUAGUUGGCGGGGUAACGGCCCACCAAGUCUACGAUCAGUAGCUGAUGUGAGAGCAUGAUCAGCCACACGGGCACUGAGACACGGGCCCGACUCCUACGGGAGGCAGCAGUAAGGAAUAUUGGACAAUGGACGAAAGUCUGAUCCAGCCAUGCCGCGUGAAGGAUUAAGGUCCUCUGGAUUGUAAACUUCUUUUAUAUGGGACGAAAAAAGGGCAUUCUUGUUCACUUGACGGUACCAUAUGAAUAAGCACCGGCUAACUCCGUG